Molecule: ribosomal RNA, 443 nt
Filed under: uncultured bacterium
Lineage: Bacteria
Description: SSU rRNA
Rfam family: Bacterial small subunit ribosomal RNA
Source: RNAcentral
AGAGCGAACGCUGGCGGCAGGCCUAACACAUGCAAGUCGAGCGCCCCGCAAGGGGAGCGGCAGACGGGAGAGUAACACGUGGGAACGUGCCCUUUGGUUCGGAACAACACAGGGAAACUUGUGCUAAUACCGGAUAAGCCCUUACGGGGAAAGAUUUAUCGCCAAAGGAUCGGCCCGCGUCUGAUUAGCUAGUUGGUGAGGUAACGGCUCACCAAGGCUACGAUCAGUAGCUGGUCUGAGAGGAUGAUCAGCCUCACUGGGACUGAGACACGGCCCAGACUCCUACGGGAGGCAGCAGUGGGGAAUAUUGGACAAUGGGCGCAAGCCUGAUCCAGCCAUGCCGCGUGGGUGAUGAAGGCCCUAGGGUUGUAAAGCCCUUUCGGCGGGGAAGAUAAUGACGGUACCCGCAGAAGAAGCCCGGCUAACUUCGUGCCAGCAGCCGC